This 200-nucleotide long non-coding RNA is filed under the name Setaria italica (foxtail millet). RNAcentral describes it as "long non-coding RNA (SITA_LNC000710)". Lineage: Eukaryota; Viridiplantae; Streptophyta; Magnoliopsida; Poales; Poaceae. The record is from RNAcentral.
GGCGGGGGUGGCCCAUUUUUUUAUUUUUUUGGAACUUUUUUUGUCCUGGUUGGUAGUACCGACCGAGACUAAAGGAGGCCUUUCUUCUCAGAUGAAAUACCUGGGACUAAAGAUGGGUACCUUUAGUCCUGAAUGAUUAGUCCCGGUUGGAUUUUCGAGACCUAUGUAUCUCUCCAACCGGGACUAAAGCCUAGUUUUCC